UACGAAGGGGGCUAGCGUUGCUCGGAAUCACUGGGCGUAAAGGGUGCGUAGGCGGGUCUUUAAGUCAGGGGUGAAAUCCUGGAGCUCAACUCCAGAACUGCCUUUGAUACUAAGGAUCUUGAGUUCGGGAGAGGUGAGUGGAACUGCGAGUGUAGAGGUGAAAUUCGUAGAUAUUCGCAAGAACACCAGUGGCGAAGGCGGCUCACUGGCCCGAUACUGACGCUGAGGCACGAAAGCGUGGGGAGCAAACAGG
This 253-nucleotide ribosomal RNA is filed under the name uncultured bacterium. RNAcentral's name for it is "partial 16S ribosomal RNA". It matches the Rfam family "Bacterial small subunit ribosomal RNA", at positions 524 to 776 of the family's 1533-position model. The record is from RNAcentral.